Molecule: small nuclear RNA, 195 nt
Filed under: Fasciola hepatica (liver fluke)
Lineage: Eukaryota; Metazoa; Platyhelminthes; Trematoda; Plagiorchiida; Fasciolidae
Description: U2 spliceosomal RNA
Source: RNAcentral
CAACAGUGGAUCGACCCUAGAGGUAAUGCUAUACGAAGCCGACUCAUUGACGGGGUUAAGCAAGCUCACAGCAUUAUUCCGAAGUGGAAAAAUGCAGGUAAUCUCAUUGGUCUCAACCUAGAGACCGUUGCAGAAAUCACACUUCAAAGAACAGAUGCUAUACAUGAUUUUAGCUCGGACAAACCGAGAUGCGAU